This is a non-coding RNA of Leptonychotes weddellii (Weddell seal), 1856 nucleotides long. Lineage: Eukaryota; Metazoa; Chordata; Mammalia; Carnivora; Phocidae. The record is from RefSeq and is a predicted model, not a curated record.
GAGGGCGCUGCUGUCUUCUUUGGAGAUCUAAAGGCCAUCUUUCUGGGGUUUCUGUUUGCAGGGGUUUCUGAAUCCAGAAAGUCUUCUGGCGUUUGAGCAGAAACAAGGGUUGUCUAUGAGCUGGAGGCCCAUCGCUUUCUGGGCAGCGGGAGCAUUGAUAGUGGAGUUUUGCUUUCCAUGGUGUCAGUCACCUGGGAUCCACUGGGGUCUGGAAGCUGAUAAUGCUCCUUCUGAUGCAUCACGGGGUCAGUAGCAGCCUAACAUGAUGUCACACGCCUACGUCGUUCACCUCACAUCUCAUCACAUGGGCAUCUCAUCAUCCACACCGUCGUUACAAGAGGAAGGAGAGAAUGAAUCCAGCGGGGAGGCGCUUUCUUGCCCCACAUACAUAACGUUGCAUGGCUGGCGACCUCCUGCAUGGCGGGGCCAUGUGAAAUCUUUCUGGUUGUUUCCCUACUUGGAGGUGAAGCUGAGUGGCACCACAGCAUCUACAAGUGACAAUUAAGUUCUCUGUCAGCCUCCUCCCCCUCCCCCCUGUCUCCCGGAGUCUUCUGAAUUUGGAGAACUUUCUGAGAUGCAAUGUCUCUGGGAGGCCGCUGUCGUCUGCCCAUCCUGAGAGUCAGCCUGGCUGCUGCAGCCCCAGGACAUGAACCGGGAUGGAGUUUGUUCUACGGAGAAUCGAAUGUGACUGUCCGAGGCUGAUUUGGGCCUUUCCUGUCUGUAGUUUCGAGAGCUGUCAUGAACUCUUUGGCUGAACCAAAAGAUACCUUCCAGUUAACCAAUUCAGAGGCAAGAGCUUAGACCCACCUACGUCAUUUCAGCAGUAAGUGUUCAGACACCUUUUCUUUCCCAGAAGGCUUGAAGAGGAUUUUAGAGUUAUAAUUGCCUCUGCCUUUUCUGCUUCACAGCAUAAUCAUAAUUCCGAUUUUCUAUUCCGUGCACUCUGGGGCGGGGUGCGUUCUGCAGACAGAAGUCAUCAAAUGAGCGAUACCCCUUAUGUCACAUUUGGGGAAGGUACCUGAGUGGGCCUGAAUUAUUAAACUCUUCCCUCAAGCUAGAGUAUAACAACAUAUGCCUUGUGCCUCACUUCGGGUGGAAAUCAUCUGGACUCCUCCUGCUGGGAAUGCACCACGGGGCUGGUUACCCGUUAGAUGCCAUCUGGCUUGGCCGAACGAUCCCAUGGCCCAUCUUGUGACUGUAUGUGCAGCUGGUCACAUAUGUUGAAAUAUGUGCCCAUGGGGGAAAAUGCUACCCUGUGGAAUUUCUAGACCAUGUGCUCUCUGGUCUGCAUUUUGCUCACGUGCAUGAUCCCAUUUAAGCCUCACAAACUCCUGAGGUUGGCAAUACUCUUACUUCCAGUUUCCAGAUGUGGUCACUUUUCCAAGGCCACACAGGGACUGGGUGAUGGAGGCAGGAUUCAAACCCGAGUCUUACUCCAAAGUUCAUGCUUUUUAGCACACCUACAGGCUUCCUCCAAGGAGGAGAGACUCUCCAGAGCAGGGAAUAUAUAGUUAUAGGAAGUAUUUAUAUGUAUAUAAAACGGUCCAGCCUACCCUCCUUCUUCAAACAAUGAGAGGCAUCAACAGCAUGGGGUAUGUGGGUAUUAGGAAAUGUAAAUUAAAACCGGAGCAAGAACCACUGCAUGCAUACUACAGACUGGCUGGACCAAGUGCUGGCAGGUGCAUGGAGGUGCUAGAAUUCUCCUUCAUACACUGCUGGUGGGAGUGUAAGAUGGUCUGGUGUUUUCCUAAAAUGUUAAACCUAAUGGAAUCCCAUAACAUUAAGGACAUUAUUCUACGUCACAAAGGAUCUAUUUUUAAAAGUUUUUAAAAAUUAAUUCUCUUAGGGGCACCUGG